AAUAUUGGACAAUGGGCGAAAGCCUGAUCCAGCCAUGCCGCGUGUGUGAAGAAGGUUUUCGGAUCGUAAAACUCUGUCAUUGGGGAAGAAUAAAUGACGGUACCCAAUGAGGAAGCCCCGGCUAACUACGUGCCAGCAGCCGCGGUAAUACGUAGGGGGCGAGCGUUGUCCGGAAUUACAGGGCGUAAAGGGUACGGAGGCGGCUAUAUAAGUCAGGUGUGAAAUACCAGUGCUUAACACUGGAAUUGCAUUUGAAACUGUGUAGCUUGAGUGCAGGAGAGGAAAGUGGAAUUCCUAGUGUAGCGGUGAAAUGCGUAGAGAUUAGGAGGAACACCAGUGGCGAAGGCGACUUUCUGGACUGUAACUGACGCUGAGGCACGAAAGCGUGGGGAGCAAACA
RNAcentral lists this ribosomal RNA (399 nucleotides) under uncultured bacterium. Its description in RNAcentral is "partial 16S ribosomal RNA". It matches the Rfam family "Bacterial small subunit ribosomal RNA", at positions 360 to 774 of the family's 1533-position model. The record is from RNAcentral.